AACGAACGCUGGUGGCAUGCCUAACACAUGCAAGUCGAACGAGACCUUCGGGUCUAGUGGCGCACGGGUGCGUAACGCGUGGGAACCUGCCCUUAGGUUCGGAAUAACUCCCCGAAAGGGGUGCUAAUACCGGAUAAUGUCUUCGGACCAAAGAUUUAUCGCCUUUGGAUGGGCCCGCGUUGGAUUAGCUAGUUGGUAGGGUAAAAGCCUACCAAGGCGACGAUCCAUAGCUGGUCUGAGAGGAUGAUCAGCCACACUGGGACUGAGACACGGCCCAGACUCCUACGGGAGGCAGCAGUGGGGAAUAUUGGACAAUGGGCGAAAGCCUGAUCCAGCAAUGCCGCGUGAGUGAUGAAGGCCUUAGGGUUGUAAAGCUCUUUUACCCGGGAUGAUAAUGACAGUACCGGGAGAAUAAGCACCGGCUAACUCCGUG
This 433-nucleotide ribosomal RNA is filed under the name uncultured bacterium. RNAcentral describes it as "partial 16S ribosomal RNA". It matches the Rfam family "Bacterial small subunit ribosomal RNA", at positions 29 to 507 of the family's 1533-position model. The record is from RNAcentral.